Molecule: long non-coding RNA, 993 nt
Filed under: Medicago truncatula (barrel medic)
Lineage: Eukaryota; Viridiplantae; Streptophyta; Magnoliopsida; Fabales; Fabaceae
Description: lncRNA gene12903
Source: RNAcentral
GUACAACAAGGGUCUAUUGUAUUUGACUAUUUUUCACUACCAAAACAAAAAAAAGAAGAAGAAAAAGGUUCCCUCUGUUACGCAAACACAGGAUAAGAAUUAUAAAAUCAUAGCUAGCGCGUGUUCUUCAAAUUCAUUCACAAAUAAAGAACAAAAUAAAAAAAUAAAAUAAAAUAUUCACUACGAGGCUUAAGCAGCUUUUGACAUAACAGAGAGCCGGCUUGGCUUCGCCUGAAAAGCUUCCCGGCGGCGAAGUUGUUGCGGCGAAGGUCGAAUCAAAUUCGUUAAUGUUCUCUUCAAAAUUUCACCUUCUACACCGAUUCGAAUCAACGAAUUCUUCAUCGCCGAUCGUCUAAGAUUCAGCGUUCUACUUCUUGACAUCGCCGUAAUUUGUUGCCGUUGUUGCUGCUGAUGCUGCUUCUGUUGAACUUCUUUUUGCUGUUGAUGUUGUUGAUGAACUUUAUCUUGUUUCUGUUGCCGUUGUUGUUCUUGCUCCGCCAUGCGUUUAUGAUACGCGCACCGAAACGAACCAGCGUGUGUCGUAGGAGAACACAUGCACCUCCUCGCCGGCUUCGUAUUCGUGGACGACACCGCCGUCAUCGAUUUAGGUCCUGGAGAUUCCGGUCGUUGUUCGGUGGAGAAUCUUACGGUGGAAGAAGGUGACGGUGGAGACGGUGGUGUAGAACGGUGACCGUAUGAUGAGGAUUGCAUCAUCACAGGAGAGGCUCUUGGAGAGAAAGUUGAUACGGAUGAAGAAGCGAAGUGUGAAUAUGAUGAAGUUUCGGAUCUUGAGGAACGAAAAGCCAUGGUCAUUGUUGAAGGUUUUUAGAGAGCGAGUGUGUUAGGGUUUUGGAGUGAGAGAAAGUGAAGAAGGUUUUGGAUUUAUUAUUAACUUUAGAAGUUUGUUUAGACGGUUAGGGAUAUGUAAACGUGAAAUUCGAAAUUCAGUUACGUAACAAAUUCAAGAAUCAGUAGGGUUUUAUAUAGAAGGAG